UGGGGAAUUUUCCGCAAUGGGCGAAAGCCUGACGGAGCAACGCCGCGUGAGGGAUGAAGGCCUCUGGGCUGUAAACCUCUUUUAUCAAGGAAGACGAUCUGACGGUACUUGAUGCAUAAGCCACGGCUAAUUCCGUGCCAGCAGCCGCGGUAAUACGGGAGUGGCAAGCGUUAUCCGGAAUUAUUGGGCGCACAGCGUCCGAAGGUGGUUGUUCAAGUCUGCUGUUUACGCGUGCGGCUUAACAGCAUG
Molecule: ribosomal RNA, 249 nt
Filed under: uncultured Synechococcus sp.
Lineage: Bacteria; Bacillati; Cyanobacteriota; Cyanophyceae; Synechococcales; Synechococcaceae
Description: partial 16S ribosomal RNA
Rfam family: Bacterial small subunit ribosomal RNA
Source: RNAcentral